This 498-nucleotide unclassified non-coding RNA is filed under the name Hevea brasiliensis (rubber tree). Lineage: Eukaryota; Viridiplantae; Streptophyta; Magnoliopsida; Malpighiales; Euphorbiaceae. The record is from RNAcentral.
UUGAAUCAGAUUUCAUUAUUAAUAAGCUCAUGACUAGAUCCUGGUCAAGAGAUCAUAACAAAUUGGUAUCAAAGCCGGUUGUCAUGGACGAGUUCCAAGAGAAGAACUAAGGGUGCUAUUCCAAGAAAUAUAAGCAUUGAUCGAAGCAAGAGCAGCACAGGCUAAAUAAAAAAUGGAAGAUCGGAUCAAGCAAUUAGAGUUGAAACUGGAAUCCCAAUUGCAAAACUUGUCCCGUCAAUUACAAGAGUUCAUUAAGAGAACUUACAAGGGCCGAGGCAAGGAAAUAGAGGGCAGAUCAUGUAGCAAUAACAACUAUGAAGGCAGUAACAAUAGAAUUGAUAGAAAAACAAAAGCGAGACUCGAGGUGGGGGUAGUAACAACGUGUACAAAGUUGGAUUUUUCAACAUUUGAUGGAUCUGAAGAUCCAUUGAUUUGGUUACACCGAUGUGAAUAAUUUUUUUCAAACCAACAAAUGCCCGAAACAGACAAGGUGAACCU